GAUGAACGCUAGCGNNGGCUUAAUACAUGNNNUUCGUGGGGCAGCAGGUUUGUAGCAAUACAGAUGCUGGNGACCGGCAAACGGGUGCGGAACACGUACAGAACCUUCCUUUGAGCGGGGAAUAGCCCAGAGAAAUUUGGAUUAAUACCCCAUAGUAUAAUGAAGUGACUUCACUUUAUUAUUAAAGAUUUAUCACUCGUAGAUGGCUGUGCGGNUGAUUAGGUAGUUGGNGGGGUAAAGGCCCACCAAGCCUGCGAUCAGUAACUGGUGUGAGAGCACGACCAGUCACACGGGCACUGAGACACGGGCCCGACUCCUACGGGAGGCAGCAGUAAGGAAUAUUGGUCAAUGGAGGCAACUCUGAACCAGCCAUGCCGCGUGGAGGAUGAAGGUCCUCUGGAUUGUAANCUUCUUUUAUAUGGGACGAAAAAAGGCUUUUCUAAGUCGNCUGACGGUACCAUAUGAAUAAGCACCGGCUAACUCCGUGCCAGCAGCCGCGGNAAUACGGAGGNNGCAAGCGUCAUCNNGAUUCACUGGGUUUGAAGGGUGCGUAGNNGGGGUGNUAAGUCAGUGGUGAAAUCGCNGAGCUUGACUUGGGAACUGCCAUUGAUACUAUCAGUCUUGAAUACCGUGGAGGUCGGNGGAAUAUGUCAUGUAGCGGUGAAAUGCUUAGAUAUGACAUAGAACACCANUUGCGAAGGCAGCUGGCUACGCGGAUAUUGACACUGAGGCAAGAAAGCGUGGGGAUCAAACAGGACUAGAUACCCUGGUAGUCCACGCCCUAAACUAUGGAUACUCGACAUUUGCGAUAAACUGUAAGUGUCUGAGCGAAAGCAUUAAGUAUCCCNCNWGGGAAGUACGAUCGCAAGAUUGAAACUCAAAGGAUUUGCCGGAGGUCCGCACAANCGNUNGCGCAUGUGGUNUAAUUNGAUGAUACGCGAGGAACCUUACCUGGGCUAGAAUGCUGGGAGACUGUGAGUGAAAGCUCAUUUCGUAGCAAUACNCNGCCAGUAAGGUGCUGCAUGGCCGUCGUCAGCUCGUCCCGNGAGGUGUUGGGUUAAGUCCCACAACGAGCGCAUCCCCCAUCACUAGUUGCCAUCAGGUAACGCUGGGAACUCUAGUGAACCUGCCGUCGUAAGACGUGAGGAAGGAGGGGAUGAUGUCAAGUCAUCAUGGCCUUUAUGCCCAGGGCUACACACGUGCUACAAUGGGGCGUACAAAGGGCUGCAACAUAGCGAUAUGAAGCUAAUCCCAAAAAACGCCUCUCAGUUCAGAUUNGAGUCUGCAACUCGACUCCAUGAAGCUGGAAUCGCUAGUAAUCGUAUAUCAGCAAUGAUACGGUGAAUUCGUUCCCGGCCCUUGCACACNCCGCCCNAAAAGCCAUGNNAGCCGGGUGUACCUAAAGUCCGUNNCCNUNNNNGNNCCCUAGGGCUAAAACUGGUACUGGGCU
Molecule: ribosomal RNA, 1450 nt
Filed under: uncultured bacterium
Lineage: Bacteria
Description: partial 16S ribosomal RNA
Rfam family: Bacterial small subunit ribosomal RNA
Source: RNAcentral